GAUGGAAAAAUAAUUCCGUAGCUCAAAGGACAGGUGGUGAUAUGAGUGAUAAGUGAAAACAUCUGAGAUUGAAUAUUCUUGUUAUAUAACAAUUUCUGCAUUUAUGUGACAUCACUAGCAUAUGAUUUUUCAAAACACACUACACACAAUUCUCUACCUAAAACCCAAAGAUCUAUCAGGAAGUGACUUGCUUUCCUUUUCCAAACACAACCAAUCAAAAUGCUACACAGACACACUCCUCACUGUGCAAACACUAGUUGCCUAACUGAUCACUAACUAAUCACUGCUUUAGUGGGCCUAUAAAUAGGGACAGCGGGGGGGUGAUAUAACCGUGUGUGCUGCCAUCACUCAAAAUGGGGUCCUCCAUCACAACGCCACACUGGCUCCAUACAACACCGGCCACAUACUCACUGUUCUGGAUGAAAUUCACACUGCUUGUCCCUGAUCCAGAUCAGGCGCCUGCUAGAUUUGUGGUUCUAUGGGACCAUGUUAGUUUUCACCGGGCUGGUCUGGUUCUAAACUGGUUUGCCACCCAUCCACAAUGUGUAGUUCUGUACCCACCCCCAUAUUCAGCUUUCCUAAAUCCCAUAGAGGAAUUCUUCUCAGCCCGGCGCUGGGAAGUGUGUGAUCGCCAACCCUAAGCCCGCACGCCGCUUCCCCGGGCAAUGGAGGACGCAUGUGGGGACAUAGAAGUUGCCUCUGUCCAAGGUUGGAUACGCUAUGCUAGGAGAUGCUUCCCUCCAUGUUUGGCAAGAGAGAACGUAUCUUGUGAUGUGGACGACGUGUUGUGGCCAGACCCGGAGAAGAGAUGGAGCUCAGCACUGGGGACUGCACCCCCUCUGCCCCCCGGCCAAUUCCUGGACCGGGACCCCACACACAAUUUACUGUAUUCUACUGUAAAGAAUAUGCUUUUGGUUUACAUGUUUAUAGUGUUGUUGUAUGCUAAUGUAUACAACUGUAAUGUUUGGCCUAAUAAUUACUUUCUGUUUCUACAUUGCAUUGGUGUUGGUGUACUUGUUACCCCUCUCAGCACGUCACUUUCACUGUAGAACGCUGUAUUUAAAUGUAGAUAUGAGCCUAUGAAAGACCAGAGCUUUAGAUUUAGAACAGCAGUGGUUACAUGGUACAUCCCAACAUGUAUUAUUAUGAAGUGUUUGCCAUUUGAUGCAGAUGCUUCAUUCUGACACGUGUUUAUGGCAUUUUGAAUGCAGUGUUGCAUUUUGAAGGAGAUGUGAGGCAUUUUGCAUUUUGUGUGUGCAGUUUUGAGAAUUGUGUGUAGAGUUUUGAAAAAAGGAGACUUAGUUUUGAAAACGUGUGUAAGCAGUUGGUAAAAACUGCAAUCAGACUGUGUGUGUUCUGUUUGGAACUUUGACUCGACAGAUUUGUAUUUAAAGCUUGUUCACAUGAGCUCAGAGGACACAGAUGACACAAGGGGGGAUGUGUGUGUGUGUGUGUGUGUGACCUUGACACUGACAGAGCUUUGGCCUUAGGCCUGUCCUUUGGCUGGGACACACACACACACACACACACACACACACAUACACACACACACAUUUAAACAUCUUGCACAAACACAUUAGCACAUGAACAGAAAUACACACAGUGGACACACACAAACAUACAUAUAAAGAACCCUGAUGAAAUAUGCACAAAUAUUGUUAGUUACACACACACACACACACAGUUCCCAGUGUAGCCAGCAGGGCUGUGGCUCAUUAAUAUUGCAUUGAUUGGACAGAGAGGAGCAGCGGACUGGAAUAACUACGUCUGUGUGUGUGUGUGUGUGUGUGUGUGUGUGUGUGUGUCGGGGUAGAGGAGACAGGAUGGAGAGAGGAGGUGCGUCAGACAAACACAGCUUCAGGACGAGGACAAAAAGGUCCUCAGGUCCGACUGAAGCGUUUGAUGAAUCUCAUAAAGUUGAAGUCUGCUUUUAACCACGACGCUUCAUCAGAGGAGCUUCCAUCUGACACACGACCCGGACGUCCGCAGCUCUACAUCAAGACUUAUUAAAGACCUUUUGAGGGCACUUCAUGAAUUAAUCUUAAUACUAAUCAAUAUUCUGUAAAUGCUUUCAAAUAGAAUGCACUGUUUCUCCUAAAUAUAUCACACCAUCACCUCAAAGUCCUGCAAAAUAAUGUGACAUUAUUUGUUCAGCACAUGUACAGGUCUGAAGUGUCACGGUGUGGGUGUGUUUCCUGUUUUAUUUUGUAGUGUCCUGCCUCUCAUGUUCCUGGGAUAAAAAUAGAAAAUAAACACUGACAAAAAGUCUCAGUUAUCAAAAUAACUAAACAAAUAGUUGAGCCGUCAUAUUUUCUCUUUGACUUUCCUUUCCUACACACAGCAUCCAACGCUCUGCUGACAGGAAGCUGCACUUCACACGUCAACACUAUUGACACACAGCGUACAGAGAAUAGCACAAAGACACGUGAAGAUCAGUUUUGUCAUGAAGGGAGGAGAAAUCUUUUGUAAAUCAGAGAACAAUAGAGGUGAGAAAAGAAGAAAAGAAGUUUGGAGUAAGGAUGCAAGGAGGAAUGAGAGCGACGGAGAGACGGGAAGGGACGGGGAAAGAAAGGAUGAGGAAAGGUAACAAUAUGAAAGACAAGUUAGGCGAAGGAAAGAAAUGGAGGACAAAGGAGGGAAGAAGGAAAGGAAAGCUGAAAGGACGGACAGAGCAAAGGAGAGAGAGACAGAGAAGGGAAGAGAUGCAGGAUGGAUGGAUGGAGGUGAGAAGAUAUUUCAAACAGUCAGCAGGCACUUUGGAUUCCCCCGACUGCAUAUCAUCAUUAAAGCACACACACACACACACACACACACACACACACAAGCACAGUUUAGAGGCAAAGUGAGACGUUCGGGCCAAACGCAAAGCCAUUUCGUUGCCGCGGGAAACACUUCCUUGUUUGCCCUAACGCCCUCACUUCCUGUCCGCUGAGACGUUUAGAGAGCUGUGUGUGUGUGUGUGUGUGGCUGUGUGUGUGGCUGUGUGUAGUUUUUUAUGUUGCAUGGCUAAUUUUGACAGCAUGGGAAUGAGAGAGUAAGUAAUGGUCCCAGCAGACUGUGUGUGUGUGUGUGUGUGUCCGGAGACUUCCAUCCAUUAGUGAUAAUGGGGAAACGGAGCUGCUAUUAGUUGUUAAUGGACAAACACACAACCACACAACGGGCUUCCUUUCUGUCACACACACUCACACACACAUGCACAAAGGACUGCUUCCACCGUAAAGUGAGAGCUCAUUCAAGUCAUCAUACAGAUGGAAAUGUGUUCCAUCUUAACAAUCUACUCCUGGAGUGUUGGACCAGCGGAUGUCCGCCCUCCUCGUGCACACUGCUUGACCACCUGUUGGCCCUCGUGCACGCUUUGGACAUUUCCAGAUUGAAUUGACCCGGCAGAAGCGUUGUUGCCACCGUUAUUCUCCUAUUGUGUACGGCACCUGCCGGUGUAUAUCGUGUGAAGACAGGUAGAUUGUAAGAGUUUGAGACCAUAAACGGGUGGUUACAAUGUUUGUUGAGGGAAUACAUCAAGACAGAAGUACAGUCGUUUUCUCAUAGACUUCUAUGAGACCAGAUCAGUCUCCCCCUACUGGCCAGUACACAGAAUGCAGGUUUUAAUGGGUUAGAGGGUUUCUACUUUAUUCUCAUUUCUGUUUCACUACCCUCUGACCUCUUCAUCUUUACUUCUGUUCUCUUCCAUUUCUUCUAUCUCCUCCUUCUUCUAUUUUCCCGUCCUUCCUCCUCUUUCUGAUGGGUUUUUCUCUCCAUCUGGACUUGUUUGCUUGUAGCCUCAUUCCUCACCAUCCACGCCCUCUAUUUCCUCACUAUGCCUUUACAAUUUCCCCCAUCUCUCCCUUGUCCCCUGCCUUUUUACGGUCCCUUUUACUCCUCUUCAUCUCCAUCCUCUUCUACCUCUGGUUACUCUUACCGGUUGCUUCAUCCGUCACCUCCCUCUCUUCUUUCUCCACUCCACUUUCCCUUCUCCCCCCUUACCCCCCUUGUUUUUCUCUCUUUCUCUUUUCUCCCUCUGUCUAUGUUAUCCCCCUCCCCUCCCCAAUCCCCACCUCCCUCCCUCCUAUUAAGGUCAGAAUGGUGCUAAGUAUCUAUCAGUGCUGAUGAGGCUCAGGAGACUCCUUUGUUCUGAACGAGGGUGAAAAUUUGAAACAGCCACAAGAGCAAAUAGCACGACCCCCCCCCCCUCACAUCCAUCCCUCCAUCCUUCACCCUGUUGUCGUCCGAUCAAUUGCUCCUUCUUCCUAACAACUGUAUUGAUCAGAUGCACUAACAACAUCUUUCAUUUAUUAAUUAUGAGAGAAUGUCUUCUUGGGAUUUCUCUCCCUCUCAGCUUGUUCUCCUGCCCCCCUCCACCCCACCCCUCCAUCCUCCACCUAUCUGCCCAUCCCUCCAUUUUAGAACUGAUUUGACUUUGUUACAUGGGACAGUUUUACCCACAUUUCUUUUUUGAAUAUGAAAUAGAUUUGGUUGUUCUGGUUUCUUUUACCUUGACUUAAAGGCUAACCCCCUUUCAAACCCGACUUUCCAGAGGAAUGUUGGUUCUAUUUCAUCCUUACUGACCGCCAGAGGCAGUGCUUCACACUGGAUUAUCUUCUGUCUCGCGCAUGCUCAGGUCGAGUCUUUAUACCAACAAAGCCGGGCAACUGUGGGUGAGUGGGGAGCAGGUCGUCCUCCAAUCAGAGGGUUGUCGGUUCGAUCCCAGGCCCGGCUAACCCGCAUGUCGUUGUGUCCUUGGGCAAGACGCUUAACCCAACAUGGCUCCUGUAGCUGCGACUACAGUGUGUGGAUGUUAGUGACUGAUGGCAGGUGUCACUGUGUGUGGUUCUCCUGUCAUCAGUGUGUGAAUGGGUGUGAAUGGGUGAAUGAUGUCAUGUAGUGUUAAAGCGCUUUGAGUGGUCAGAAGACUAGAAAAGCGCUAAACAAGUACAGUCCAUUUACCAUUUACCAAAGUCACCUGUGACCCCGGAUGACCUCCCAACACGUAUAAGUACCGGUGUCAUCCUGGGAUCAGUCCUAUUUCAUCUUCUCGUUAGUCUGGUAGCUAGGCUUAAACGAGCUAAUUCUCUGCAAUAGCAUUUUGUACAUUUGUUUUGUACAUCUUACCACUACCACAGCUAGCAGGGUGCUCUCGCCCAGAAUAACUGGUGUGGUGCUUAGUUGACUAGAUCAUCACUAGAACGUUUAAAGUUGUUUGUUGCCUUAUGGCUAGCACAGCUAGCAGGUCGCCCCCCCUCCUGACUGAGGGUGGUGCUAGUUGACUGGAUCAACACUAGCACUGGCUACAUUUCUGAUGGGACCUUACGGCUAACACAUUUAGCAGGGUGCUCUCGCCCAGGCUAACAGGACGAGAUGCUACACCUGACCAGAACGACACGAACAUUGUGUCAUUGAAGAUCUAGCAAUGAUCACGGUUACACUGUGUCCUCAUUUGGGCUAAGACCGUGGAAAGCUGGCCCUGAGACUGCGACUAUCGGUUAGCAGAGUGUCCUCGUUCAAGCUAACUCGCAGAGAUGCUAAGUGGACUGAAUUGACAUUGACGUGGUGUCCAUUGAGGUUUUUCACACUUUCAGCUGUCGGUUGGCAAUGUAUCCUCGCUCAAGGUGAUACACAAUUCACUACAGCCACUGUCGAGAUGAAGAGAGUGCUCCCGCUCCCCUCUUACUUUAAGGACCGGCUAUUUGGUCCGUUUCCACAGUAGCAGAAGAGCUCCUGCUCACUGAAGGCUGAUGACACAACAGGGUGAUGAGCCUUAUCGGCAUGUCCCUUUUCCACCUCAUGCUUGCCCUCUCAGCUUUGCUUGCCGCUUCCACCGGCCGCAAUGAUUUCACUGCAGAUAUUGCCCUCAUAUCGGGGGAGCUUGGACGUCUGAUGUUCCCCCUGCUCCAGACUCGCCGCUGGGUUUGGCCGGCGCAGUCACCCCUGUCAGAGACAUAUCGGAGAAUCCUCCAAAGUGUCCCUGUGGAAGCCAGAGGAGCUGUUUUUUAGCUGAUAAACCAGGCGCCUCAGCAAAGAAUUGUAGAUAGCCAAGGCAGACAGCAGUUCUGUUUCUUUACAGGAACAUGCCAGCGUAUCUAUAGGGUUCCACUUUGGCCCUCCUCAUCCCCCAGCUAACUCCAGUAACUGCCACAAGUUGCCUGGACGCCAGCUUGUACCCAUGCAACACUACCAUAUGUUCCCCACAGGCAACUGCCGAACCUGGGGGCCCAGUCGUUGUGAAACCACCCUAGCCCUCCUCAGAGCACUACCACCAUUAGGGUGGCCCUGUGGGGCUGUCCGUCACCCCAGCGCAUGUGGACGACUUCCCCACAGCCUCUCCCCUUCUAAGAGGUAAACGGUUGUCUUACAUCUUUUUCCGCCUAUAGGGUGAACUGACAGCGGGCGACUUCAGGCUGCACAGCCUUCACUUGUAUGCCAAGUCUCGGGACAAUGGUAGCAUCAAAACACUACCUUAUCCCCAUGGAGCCCCUGUGGCACUUUGCCUGUCACAGCAGUAGAACAGGACACUGCUGACAUAGUGCUCAAGCAUUUCCUGCUAUACCAUGAGGGAAAGCAGGUGUCCCGUUGGACAACACCUCUGCUGUGUUGACGCCAAUAUCAGGGAUAUGAUUGCGCUUACUUGGGCAGCUUUUGCCUGACAGAGCCUUUGGGCAAUAACCCAGCCAGGAGUGGCUACUGCAUCGAGAGUUGAUGCCGACCCACUGCCCCCACCGGCUCUCCCUGACAGAGGGGACCACCGCUCUGGGUCAGGAUGCUCUGGCUCAGGAUGCUCUGGCUCACACGUGGCCAGAGAAUCCUAUUCAGGCCUUUGCCUCUGAUCUGUUCUUUACGGCGAGAGGAACAUCUGGUUGCAACCGAAGGGCUGGGUUUGACAUCCCAAACCCUGACGCCUUGACACUAUGGACCUGGCCACAAGAAGACCCGACAGGGCGUUAUGUGGUUGCAAAAAAUCGGUCAAACCAACUUCUGAAUCCCAGGGCGCGAUGUAUCCACCCGAGAGUAAAAAAAACAGAAAAACAGAAACUGUUUUCUGACCGGUGUGCCGUUCUCAACAGGACCCCGGUACAAGGCCCUGUGCCUGCUGUACUUGGGUUUCCACAAGUCCCUCCUCUUUAAGGGACAGUCUCCCUCUACCAUUGGAUUAUAGCCGGCCUCAUUUCGGGGCAGCCUACUGAGGUCGACAUCACACAGUAGGGAGCCACAGACUGGCGUCCCUCUGUCAAAAAAAACCCCCCAAAAAUGGGGGGGCUCCGCAAUCACGUCCUGCGAGCGGCCAAAAAGCCACUGAAGAGACGUACCCUUGGCACUGGAGACCCUAGACGUGCCUUUUGAACCCCCGACUCAGGCGGAGCUGAGAUGGCUAGUGGUCAAAAGGGGUAUCUCUCUCCUUGCCAUCGCAGCCACUAAACCUAUACUCGAGUUGCAUGCCUUGCUGGUGAGCAAAUCAUAUCUGAGGGUACCUCAGCUCUGGCAUUACUCUGUGGCCUAAGGCAGCGUCCCUCCCGACGGUGCGAACAAGCUCACGUAUCAACCAGCCUAUUUAGCCUGCACAGUUGACCCCCCUUCCAGCAGGAGAGGCGAGGUCAGGGCUACCGUGCCAAGUGCGGGCCCUCAGAGCUUGUGUAGAAGUUCCCGCUUGGAUAGAGCGGCUUAGAACGGUCAGUUAUGCUGGAACUGAGGGCUGUGCUCUCUUUUAAAGCAGCACCCACCCUACUGGGUUUCAGAGGCCAUUGCCGAGACAUACAAGACGAGCAACCAAGCUCAGCCAUUGAGAAUCAGCAUGCGUAAAGUUGUCCGGAUCGGCUCAUUUUACACCCACGCACUGAAUAUACACUAAUUAAUGUGUUUUUAAAUGAACGCUGAUCAUUUUGUUGCCGUCCAGAAACUGUGACCUUUCUUUAAACGGAACCAAAGCCGCACACUUUCAGUUUUCAAACUUCUCCUCUAUGUCAAAGUCUGCUUGGCACACCCACCAUUCUCAACCCACCUCCACUUCCUUCUUCUAGUUCUUCUGCCAGUUCUUUCAUCUUCAUAUUUGCUUUUGUGAUAUCCAAGGAAUCAAUGACAAUAAGCCGUGAACCUGCGCAUUUGAUUAGUGAGGACAUUUAGCUUUGAAGUGAGGUGACUAGUGUCGUUAUAGAUACAUUACAUGUCAUUUAGCGGACGCUUUUAUCCAAAGCAACGUACAAUAAGUGCAUUCAACCAUAGGGUACAAACUCAGGAGAACAAGAAACAAGAAAGUGCAAUUUCCUCAAAUAAGCCAAUUUACAAUUUGCUAUAGAUGAGUGACGUUACAAGUACAAUUUAAGUGCUACAAUUUGUUAGUCUUUAGUCGAGGUAGAGUCUGAAGAGGUGUGUCUUUAGUUUGCGGCGGAAGAUGUGAAGGCUCUCUGUGGUCCUGAUGUCUUCAGAGAGCUCGUUCCACCAUUUCGGCGCAAGGACAGAUCAAUGUCCCAAUUGUUGGGAUCUGUGUGGCGAAGAGGUGGCACGAAGACACGAGUAGCAACACGAUAAAGGACAAACAGGUGUUUUUUGUCUCUAAUGAGUGUGUCUCUUUGUCAGUUCUCAGAUGGGGUUCAGCCCUGCCUCCUUUCUUCUACCCUCCUGGUUGUCACCUUUGUGGCCUCCUCCUUGUCGUCCCCCCAUGUUGCUUCCUUCUCGCGUCUUCUCCUUAUUGUGUCUUCCUUGUUGUUGUCUCUACGUUGUCUCCCCCUUGUCGCGUCCUCCUAGUUUCCAGAGUGGGUGAGUCUUCAUUGAUUGGAGCAGUGAGGGCUGACACACUGACAAAUAGCCUUUUUAUUAACGGCCUGUCUGUGCCUGGUAGCCAGAGAUGGAAGAGAAGAACAAUUCAAUUCACUUCGAUAGACUUUAUGUCUCCCUGCAGGGCCGUUUUCAUUACAGGCAUAAAAACCCUGAUUAAAGGCAAAAAAUGGACGUCUUCUCAUAAGCUGUGGCUGUACCUUGGGCAGUCUCUUCAUGUGUUCAUAUUGUUUACAGUCCGUUUAUGUACUGGAAUGAUGUGGAUUUAAAUUGACAGUCGGAUCUUCAGUAUGAGGGGAAAUGGAUUUGGUGACAUCAUCUGCUUUUGUUAACAAAUAUGAGGUAAAAAGUAGUGAUGUCUUGUCCGUAUUAAGAGGAUAAAAUGUACUUCAUGGGGAUUACAAACUUUGUUAUUUAUUCAAAUAGCUUCCCUUGUCCCGAUUGCAUGUGUGAAUUGGCUUAUAUGAGUGUGUGUGUGUGUGUGUGUGUGUGUGUUUAACCCACCAAAUCUGGAUUAUUUAAAACAAUUUAUUUUGUAUAGUUUUUACAUUGUGGGACAAGCUUUGAGUGGCCUGUAAGUCACUCCAGUGAGCACACUGAGUCAUGUGGAGUUCAGGCAAGUUGCAAAUGUUCUAAUUGUUAAUUUGGAAAUAUUUGUUUGAUAUUAAUAAUAAUAUCUGUUUAAUUUAUUAAUAAAUAAACGCACAAAAAUAAAGAAAUACAAAACAAAAGGAAUUACAGGAUCCUGAUCAAUAGAUCAGAUUCAUCAAAUUAAAGUCAUUAAAGUGCACAUAUCUGUCGUGCCCAUGUUGGACAAGCUGCGUGGAGGGAUUACAACACAUUACUGAUCAAAUAACUACCCGCUCUGUUUGUGUUGCGAUAACACUAUGUUUGUUGUUAUUAUUAAAAACAUAUAUAACUUAGCAUGUGUUUUGUGUGUCGUCCUUUCGGAGUGUCUCAGAGAUUAGAUCUGCGUCCUCCCCCUCUCUCUCUCUCUCCGGUGUCCUCUCCCUCACCCGGCCCUCAGGGGUCCCACGAUUAGUCGGUGACAUGACAACCAAUUAAGGACUAAUUAAUCAAGCUCUAGUUGAUGGGUAAUAUCCUGAGCCACUCGGGGUGAAACUGUGUGUGUGUGUGUGUGUGUGUGUGUGUGUGUGUGUGUGGUGUGGUGUUGUGUCGCGUGUGUGUGCAAGAAUGUUGAAUUGAAAUGAAGCAUAAACGAACGACACCAAGAGGGAAAGAAAACCAUAAUGAGAUUCAGCCCCCUCAAUCUGUGGGGAAUUAAUGAUUCUGUGAUUCUGAUGCUGUGACAUGGCUCUCGUUCCAGUGACUUCCUGUACUGGUGUUUAAGUCAGAUUACCCACAAUGCCGUUUUGUCUGCAGCGCAAACCAAAUAUCAACAGAAAAAAGAGACUUCACAUGGACGGGUGUCUGCUUCAUCAUCAUGGACCGGGACCUACUGGGACUUCUCAGUAUGAGCAGAAUGUGAUGAGGACGAAGACCUUCAGGACACUUGAGUUUUUCAAUAAAUUAAAUCUUUUGCUUUUGUUUUGUUUGCAUUGACUCCAUUUUUCAGUGUUUUUUCAUGUGCACUGGGAUGGAAACAAUGCUGAUGUCAAUUAGGAUUCUUUUAAGUGGUGGAAACACAUGCAAAAGCAUCCGCUCUCUAAUAGUCACACUCCGUUGUAUUAGAUAUAUGGAUAAAGGCGUAUUUAGGUGAGCAUGAGAGGAGGUGGACGGUUCUAACAAACCGUGACAGCAGCAUUCAAACUUUUGUUUUCGGACCCAAAGUCGUCCUGAAAAACAAGUAGUUCAAAGAAAUACUAAAGAGAGAGGAGCAUUCCUGGACUAGUAGUCACUAGUAGUAGUUUGUGACUAACCACGAGACUGUGAACCAGCUCACGGCAUCCAAACCCAACAACACUGUGUGGGGAUCUUAAACGUUCAUAUGUAAACUCUAUACAUAAGAAUAAACAACAUAAAUAUAAUAACAUGCCGGCUUAAAGGAUGCAAAGAACAACUGUUGCAUUCAAUAUUUAUUCAAACAGUGACAAGUGUAAAGCUGUGUGCUGCGAUCACAGCCUCAUCCAGCCAGUAAAGUAGCAACGUAGCUUCACGUACGCAAACAAGCGUUAUCGCAGAAGUCCAAACCAGGAACAAGGAAGUGAAACAAAAUGGGAGCAAGAGCUGCAGUGUGAUUUCUCGUGUGAAAGACGGAUGCAGCAUCAACACGUUGAAUGGGUGCCGCGGUGCAAACCUGCAGCAGUAGUCCGCCCUGCAGUGCAACUCUGUCGGCCACCUAAAAAUAAAUGUGGUCACCGUGCGGGGGGCCGGGGGGCCGGGGGGCCUCGGGCCGACCGAAUGGAAGUAUUGAUAGAAGCAAAGGAAAGAGAAACACACACACAUACGAAGCAGAGUGUUAGAGCCGCUGGCCAGAGGCCACAGCAACCCUAUUGAUCCAUUGUUGUUUUUAGCACAUCUCUACACACGCUGACACACACACACACACACACACACACACACGUAGGAGAGGCCAGCAAUGCUAUUAUGCUGGGUUGUGUUGUGUUUUUUUCUCCAAUCCAUGCCCUCAUUUUAUCCUCUACUAUCUGCUUUCACAUGGACAGAACACACUUUCAGACUUGUAAAACACAAACCAAUAAAAAUGAUAUAUAUAUAUAUAUAUACACACACACAUAGUGGACGUGCAAGCCGUUUGACUUAAAAACAAUGUGAAGGUUUACUGAUAUGGGAAUAUGUCAGAUGAGGACGUGUGUGUAGCUCUGACAUCAAGUCCGUUGAAGCCAUUCGUUUCCCCGGCAGCUCACUGGUUGAUUAGCCUGAAGCGUUGGGUAUUGUUGCUAUAGUUACCUGUAGUUCAAGGCACAUGAUCACCAGCUUGGAUUGACAGAUGAAAACCCAACUUCAUAACCCAAAUGUAUCAUUAAUGUAUUGUUCAAUAGUAGUGUGAAGUCAAUGAAGCCCUUUUUGGACGUCAAUUUCAGAAAGUGCUUCCCUGUCUUGAGACUCAGUGUCCAGAUUAAAAAUGCAUGUUUUAGUGUUUACUAUUUGAAUUUCCCAGACAAUCAGAAAAGUUUUUCAGCUCUUAGUCAAUGGAAGUAUGUAUAAUCAGCUGGUGGAAAUCAAUGUUUUUUUGUUGGCUCAAUAUUUGAAUGCCAAUCAACGAAAUAUCAUAUCAUAUAUAACAAUUGAUGCCAAAAAAACAGAAUGCACAUUGACAAAACAUGAAUAAUGCAAUACGCAAACCAGCCUGGUCGAUAUUUGUAUGAAUGAGUGUGUGUUUGUGUUGCUCUUCCCCUGCUGUGAAGUCAACCCUAAUGCUCUAUUUGCACUGAUUCCAUCGCCCAGUUCCCAUGCCCCCUCUCUCUGAUCGGGAAUUAGAUGGUUCACACACACACACACACACACACACACACACACACACACACACACACACACACACACACACACACACACAAACGAGCAGACAGGAGGAUCAGAGGUACAGCGAAGGCAACGCUCUGUUUCCAUGUGACUGACGGCUCAAACGUUCUCGCGCUGUAGCUGAUUCUCGCAGGAUCGCACUAAAAAAGUCAAUGUCUCUGCAUUGUGUGAGGAGCACCUGGUGGUGGAGGUGUGUGUGACAUCCUGCACGUAGGUUUAGAGAGCGGGUUGUGUUGGGACUAAAAGCGUAGAAGAAACCAAGUAGAGAAGACGCACCUUCAAGUGAUGCAGAAUGCUGCCACAGACACAAAACUCUAUUCAAAGAAUCUUUUUGGUUCAACAAAUAUUUUAAUGGUUUUCUCCACUUUACAAAAAAAGGUACAUGUACAAGUACAUAUGAGUAAAUAUAAAUAUCUGUGCCCUAAUUUAUUGUUGUGCGUUACUAAAUGGCAGUGCAUGGUGACUGAUAUGCGCAUGCACUUAAUAAAGAUUUUUUUUGCCUUGCAUGACCUUUAAUAAAACAUGAAUAAAAAAGAAUAAACUGAAACCAAAAGCUCUUUAGUAAUGUUGUCACACACAGAUACAUAAUGAGGGUUGCAGGGCUGAUACGUAUGUUGACCUUGUCCACUGUCAAGUCUCUAACUGAUCAUGUGACCUGACAAAAGGAAACACGGUUGCCAGUUUAGCAAAAUCGGUCGAGAGGACAAGUUGAGCUCCUUUUCUAGUCGAGCGAGCAGAGAGGCUUCCAAUGACGACUUCACAAUUCGCUCUGUGCAACAAAACAUAUGGAGCGUUUACGAGUUCACACUGUGGUUACUAUUCAGCCUGCAGUAUAGUAUGAUAAGAGAAAAUCUGAUUAUUAUUCAUUUACAAAUCCAAUGGAGAGUCUGACAGAGACAAAAAGAUGAAUGUAAAAGGAAACUGGUAUGGUGACAGUGAGUCUGUGAUAUGGCGGCAAAUCACGGUCAAAAUUCGAGAGCGCAAAUAAGGUUGAUGCGCGCAAGUAAAUCAAACAUGUGCCAGAAAAUGUCUGUAGCUGGUUGUCAUCUUCGGUCCACUACGGUUACAGAGGUGUCGUUUGUGUUUUGACAACGUUUCUUCAUAUAAUUUUGACUUUCUAUUGUCAUAUCCUGGCUCAAGGGCCAUGACAAAAGAGGCAACGAGGCAGCGUAACUGAUCAAAAGUCAUUUAUUUAACAAAGGAAUCAACUAAACAUAUCUUUUGUAACGUAUAACUUGAAUAAAGUAAAUAAAUCAAGCAGGGUAAUCAGGCCAUGGUUGAGAGGUGUAGUCCGAUCAAGUGGGGCUUCAUCACCAUUGACUCACCACUCCCAGGUGCCCCAGAUCUGCCAUCAACUCAGGAAAGAUGGUUACUACCCGAGAGAGGUAUCACUCCCAGAGAGUGUGAACCACACAGUCACACUGUCCCCUUUCUAUGGUGCAGAAAUGUCAUGUGAAUGCAUCACUCCAGCCAAUCCAAAGACGCGGUUUGUAACCAAUUAGAUGUAAAGAUACCAUGGUGACUGGCUCCGCCCCCUUACUGUCAAAAAGAACAACAGCGAACGCGUAGAAAACACCUUUGAGCGCGAGCAGAGACUCACCUCGCGAGCGACGAAGCUCACGUUGCGCGAGCGCGCAAAUAUGCAAAUAUCUCACGAGAGCAAAACUCCAGACUUUUGCUGGCGGAUGUUUGAUUUACGCGCGCGCAUCAACCUGAUUUGCGCUCUCGAAUUUUGACAGUGAUUUGCCGCCAUACUGUGAGCGGGAAACAGUUUCACUCCAUUGAUAUAAAUCACAUUUCAAAUCUUCUCUCCAUCACAACUCGCCUCCAUUCCUUUCUUUAUCUUCUGCUUUGCAAACUCGGAUUGACGCUCCUCACCUAUCCCUUUCUCUCUCUGUCUCACACACACACACACACACACACACACACACACACACACACACACACACACACACACACACACUUACUUUCACAUGGCCUCUGGUCUGUUCUCUACUCACAGGCCAAUCAAUAGACAACAUGUUGAGCUCUAUACAGACACAGCUACUAUGGAUCCAAAGCCUAAUUGCAUGGCUGCACGGCAAACUGCUACGUGUAUACGUGUGUGUGUGUGUGUGUGUGUGUGUGUGUGUGUGUGUUUAUUUUGGCACCUGAUUUUGUAAUCCGCGCGAGGUUAGUGGAACAGUCCGGGUGAAUGUGACCGCUCUGCUGUGAUACUUCAGUUUGGCUCCUCAGUGAAAUAAACUGUGUUGUUGUGAUUUUGGAUUCCAGAACUCGACAGUAUCAUGUGGUUCACAAAAAUGUGCAACGUCAAAGAGAUUUCAAACUACUGAGUUUGACACUGUUGAAGAGGUUUCAACAACUUCAAUUAGGUUAAGUAGAUAAGUCUAAAUAGAAUUCUGAGAUAAAAAGCAAUUAUGAUGAGGUAAAAAGAACAGAACAGAAGUGGAGACAUCCGCGAUAAGCUGCAGUUAUUACGUCGCCAUAUCAUUGCGUUCUUGACAGAUGACAUCACUGUGACGUCAUCAUCAUCUUCAUCAUCAUGUGUCCCACUCUUGACGAAUGCUGAAGGUCACCUUCCCUUUGGACAAACAGUCUUUUUAUGUUUUAUGUUUUAUUGUUACUGGAGUUCAUCUCCGAGGUUUGAACUGUGUCAACAGCUGCAACAUUCAAACUUAAUUUGAACACUUCACAUUCUUAGAAUACUAAAAAAAUAGGUUUGAAGGUCGGUAUGGAUCUGGGAGACCUUUCCUAAUGUAUUUGGAUUUGAACAUUUUAAUUAUUAGGGCCUGAGCCGACUGAGAGUCGGGGGAAGCCCUAUUGUGUUUCUAAAAAAUUCUUCUUCUUAUUUCUCCACUUUGAUCAAACUUUUGAGGCCUAUAUCAUAUUCAAAAACUCUUGAAUUUUGGCGUGCGAAUCAGAAGUGCGAAAAAUGUAGAUAUUCUUGGGGUUGCGCAUUUGGGGAUAAAAAAUGGCUCUCUAGCGCCCCCUGGAAGUGCUCCCUCUGGGGAAAUGUUUGCCUAGUUUCACCGAUUGACUUGAAAUUUUGCACACAGGUGCUCUUUGAUAUGCUCUACAAAAAAGUUAAUCAUGGUAUGCAAAUGUGCCUAGCAAGAUUUUCCACCAUUUUGAAUUUUGUGAAAAACACGUUUUUGUGAACUCCUCCCAGACGCUAAGUCUGAUUCUCACGAAAAGUUCAGGUAAUCAUUAUUAAUAAAAAGCUUGUUGAUAUCUCACUGGGUUUCGAAGUUAUGGACCAAUGAAGGUUGUAGGGGGUGUGGCCUAAAAGUGAAAGACCUAUAACUUCAAAAGUAAUUGGCUUGUCCUCACCAAAUCUCUACUUUAGGGGGCGCUGCAGUCGUUCUCUGAAAUUUUGCUUAUUUUUUGCAAUUUCCAUCGUAUUUCAGAUUUACAAACGAACAAACUCCUCCGAGAGUUUAAACCCAAUCAACUUCAUGUUCGGGCAAACUGAUCCUGACAACUGUGUUUAAAGUUAUUAAAAUGAAGAGUUUUUGUGAAACUACCUGAGCGUGGCCUGGCAUCUAUUCUGGUAGAUUUUGGUCGAUUGUCUUGAAAGCCUAAGAUGUUAUAACUCCAAGGAACAUUUUUAUUUCUGGCCGAAAUUUCUAAUUUAUGAUGUGAUUGUACGCCUUAAAGUAUUCCCAUGAAGUGAUUUUCAAGAAAUUAUAGCGCCACCUAUUGGCUUAGCUAAAUGCAAAAGUUUUACACUUUAAUGUGUAUCUCCUAGCCAUUUAAUGUGAUUAACCUCAAAUCAUUGAAUAUAAGCUUUACGGCUUUGAUGAUAGUUCACAGUGAAUAUUGGGAGUUUUUGAAAACUGUUUUUGCUGUAACGACACUGUCUUCGCAUGAAAGUUCAAGCAGAUAUUUUGGUGCCUUGGCAAACUCAAAAAAUCUUGAAAACUUCUGUCAGUGUGCUAGAUGAUGACAUUAAAGACCUGAUGUGGAGUUUUGACUCAAAAAUGGUCAAUCAUUAUAAUAUAGAUUUUUAAAAGUACAGUGCAUCCGGAAAGUAUUCACAGCGCUUCCCUUUUUCCGCAUUUUGUUAUGUUACAGCCUUAUUCCAAAAUGGAUUAAAUUCAUUAUUUUCCUCAACAUUCUACACACAACAACCCAUAAUGACAAAGUGAAAACAUCACAUGUACAUAAGUAUUCACAGCCUUUGCUCAAUACUUUGUUGAAGCACCUUUGGCAGCAAUUACAGCCUCAAGUCUUCUUGGGUAUGAUUCCACCAGCGUGGCACAUCUAUUUCUGGGCAGGUUCUCCCGUUCUUCUUUGCAGAACCUCUCAAGUUCCAUCAGGUUGGAUGGGGAGCGUCGGUGCAGCCAUUUUCAGGUCUCCCCAGAGAUGUUCAAUGGGGUUCAAGUCAGGGCUCUGGCUGGGCCACUCAAGGACAUUCACAGAGUUGUCCUGAAGCCACUCCUUUGUUGUCUUGGCUGUGUGCUUCGGGUCGUUGUCCUGUUGGAAGAUGAACCGUCGCCCCAGUCUGAGGUCCAGAGCGCUUUGGAGCAUGUUUUCAUCGAGGAUGUCUCUGUACAUUGCUGCAUUCAUCUUUCCCUCAAUCCUGACGAGUCUCCCAGUUCCUCCCGCUGAAAAACAUCCCCACAGCAUGAUGCUGCCACCACCAUGCUUCACUGUAGGGAUGGUACUGGCCAGGUGAUGAGCAGUGCCUGGUUUCCUCCAGACAUGACGCUUGGCAUUCAGGCCAAAGAGUUCAAUCUUUGUUUCAUCAGACCAGAGAAUUUUGUUUCUCAUGGUCUGAGAGUCCUUCAGGCGGGCUGUCAUGUGCUUUUUACUGAGGAGUGGCUUCCUUCCGCCCACUCUACCAAACAGGCCUGACUUGUGGAGUGCUGCAGAGAUGGUUGUCCUUCUGGAAGGUUCUCCUCUCUUCAUAGAACAACGCUGGAGCUCUGUCAGAGUGAACAUCGGGUUCCUGGUCACCUCCCUGACUAAGGCCCUUCCCCCCGAUCGCUCAGUCUGGCUGGGCGGCCAACUCUAGGAAGAGUCCUGGUGGUUCCAAACUUCUUCCAUUUCCGGAUGAUGGAGGCCACUGUGCUCAUUGGGACUUUCAAUGCUGCAGAAAUCUUUCUGUACCCUUCACCAGAUCUGUGCCUCGAUACAAUUCUGUCUCGGAGGUCUACAGAUAAUUCCUUGGACUUCAUGGCUUGGUUUAUGCUCUGAUAUGCACUGUGAUGUCAGCUGUGAUACCUUAUAUAGACAGGUCAAGUCAAGUCAAGUCAUUUUAUUUUGUAUAGCCCAUAAUCGCAAAUUAUAAAUUUGCCUCAGAGGGCUUUACAGUCUGUACACAUACAACA
Molecule: long non-coding RNA, 17534 nt
Organism: Gasterosteus aculeatus aculeatus (three-spined stickleback)
Lineage: Eukaryota; Metazoa; Chordata; Actinopteri; Perciformes; Gasterosteidae
Source: Ensembl